This 220-nucleotide ribosomal RNA is filed under the name uncultured Glomus. Its description in RNAcentral is "partial small subunit ribosomal RNA". It matches the Rfam family "Eukaryotic small subunit ribosomal RNA", at positions 591 to 817 of the family's 1831-position model. Lineage: Eukaryota; Fungi; Glomeromycota; Glomeromycetes; Glomerales; Glomeraceae. The record is from RNAcentral.
CCAAUAGCGUAUAUUAAAGUUGUUGCAGUUAAAAAGCUCGUAGUUGAAUUUCGGGAUUAAUUUAUUGGUCGUGCUAUUGUACGUACUGGUAUUAUUGAUUCCUACCUUCUGACGAACCACGAUGUCAUUAAUUUGGUGUCAUGGGGAAUCAGGACUGUUACUUUGAAAAAAUUAGAGUGUUUAAAGCAGGCUCACGCUUGAAUACAUUAGCAUGGAAUAA